Molecule: ribosomal RNA, 460 nt
Filed under: uncultured bacterium
Lineage: Bacteria
Description: partial 16S ribosomal RNA
Rfam family: Bacterial small subunit ribosomal RNA
Source: RNAcentral
CCUACGGGGGGCUGCAGUGAGGAAUAUUGGUCAAUGGACGAGAGUCUGAACCAGCCAAGUAGCGUGAAGGAUGACUGCCCUAUGGGUUGUAAACUUCUUUUAUAUGGGAAUAAAAUGUUCCACGUGUGGGAUUUUGUAUGUACCAUAUGAAUAAGGAUCGGCUAACUCCGUGCCAGCAGCCGCGGUAAUACGGAGGAUCCGAGCGUUAUCCGAAUUUAUUGGGUUUAAAGGGAGCGUAGGUGGAUUGUUAAGUCAGUUGUGAAAGUUUGCGGCUCAACCGUAAAAUUGCAGUUGAAACUGGCAGUCUUGAGUACAGUAGAGGUGGGCGGAAUUCGUGGUGUAGCGGUGAAAUGCUUAGAUAUCACGAAGAACUCCGAUUGCGAAGGCAGUUCACUGGACUGCAACUGACACUGAGGCUCGAAAGUGUGGGUAUCAAACAGGAUUAGAUACCCGUGUAGUC